AAGACCUUGCACUUUUGGAGCGGCCGAUGUCUGAUUAGCUAGUUGGUGGGGUAAUGGCCUACCAAAGCUUCGAUCAGUAGCUGGUCUGAGAGGACGGCCAGCCACACUGGGACUGAGACGCGGCCCAGACUCCUACGGGAGGCAGCAGUGGGGAAUUUUGGACAAUGGGGGCAACCCUGAUCCAGCCAUGCCGCGUGAGUGAAGAAGGCCUUCGGGUUGUAAAGCUCUUUCAGCCGGAACGAAACGGUUACGGUUAAUACCCGUGAUUACUGACGGUACCGGAAGAAGAAGCACCGGCUAACUACGUGCCAGCAGCCGCGGUAAUACGUAGGGUGCGAGCGUUAAUCGGAAUUACUGGGCGUAAAGCGUGCGCAGGUGGUUUUGUAAGUCAGAUGUGAAAGCCCCGGGCUCAACCUGGGAACU
RNAcentral lists this ribosomal RNA (423 nucleotides) under uncultured bacterium. Its description in RNAcentral is "bacterial SSU rRNA". It matches the Rfam family "Bacterial small subunit ribosomal RNA", at positions 207 to 622 of the family's 1533-position model. The record is from RNAcentral.